CUUGCUCAUAGAAUGUAGACCUAGUACAUCAUCCCUUUGAGCUUUCAGGUUAUUUAUAUCCAUUGACUUUUGUGAAUAAAAGUCCUUUUAGUAGUGGAUAUUGUUAUGACCCUCUAGGUCAUUUAAUCAAUUUAGGCACAUUUUUGGAAUUUUGGGCCUUCCUAUAUUGGCAAAAAUUAAUUUGUGACCUGUUGGAAUUGUCGAUUUGAUUAUCAAACAGUUUUUUUGAAUUUCAAGAUCAUUUCCCUAUCUUGGAGCAUUUUUUACUAAGAAAUUGGUCUUAGAAGAAAAUUCCUAAUAAACAAUAAUAGAUGAGAAUUUUGAUGGAGCUAUCAUAUUUAAACUAUUGAUUUUAGGCUAGGGGGACCCUUGUUUCAGGUCCUAAGACUUCUGAACUAGUUUGGACCUAUUGGGUGGAUUCUAUGAAAAAAAUUAUAGGUAUGGGCCCUACAUUUAGUAAAAAUAAUUUUGGGUGAAAUUUUUGAUGGUUCCAUUAAGUUUUGAAUGUCGAAUUUUGUAUGGUAGCAUAGUUUGUUUGUGGGUAUGGGGUUCUAAAUAAAUCUCAAGCACCCGAUUAAAGUCCAUUGGACUUAGCGAAAAAUCUAGUGCUUGAUAUCUGGUUUGACCACUUAAGCGGUCAAAGAGUCGCUUAAGUGGUAGAAGAUUUAGUGACCCUGAGCCACUUUAGCUGCCUUGACCAUUUUGCUGAGGUUCGCUUAGCGAUCAAGGAUAGAUUAAUCGAACAUCGCUUUAGCAGCCAAGAGACUGCUUUAACGAUGCCUGCAUUACAUUGUAUGACUACUUUAGUGAACUUUUACCGCAUAAGAGGACAUGUAAACGCUUUAACAGCACCUAGGCAUUGUUAAAUCCCCCUUCUUCACUUAGUUUUCCUCUCAUCUUUUCUCAAUUAUUUUUACCAUUUUUGAGAGCAUGGAGCAUGGGAAGUAUGGGCAAUCAUCGAUUGAAGCUAAGGUCAGCUAGCCCAAUAAUCGUUAGUUAUUUUCCAUUAUUUUCCCCAUCAAUUACAUCCCAUUACAAAGUAAAUUCUUAGAAAUUAGGUUUUAAAAUCCUUAGAACUUAGGGGCUGAUUUGGACCCCAAUGUAUAAGCCUUUUGUGGUAAACUUCUGAGCACCCAUUCCUUGUCCUUUAAUCGAACUCGUGACAGAUUUAAUUUUGGAUUCCGUUUAUUUGCCCUCUGAUCUUUCUUAACUCAAAUUCUGACCCGACCUUUCAUAUAGCAAUAUGGGUCUCAUUCUACUUCUAUUGAUGUGUAAAUUAUUAUUUUGAUAGUGUGAUAAUAAUUUAAGAUCAUGGAGUAAAGAUGAGUUAUUUAUGGUUGAUUCAAGGAUUUGUGGUUCAACAUCGAGGUAGGCUUUGGUUUACUUUUCUUCAUGAUAUGUGUGUAAUAUCGAUUGUAGACUAGAUGGGUAUAAUAGGACCUACUUAUGACUAGAAUAUCAUGGCUUGGCCUAAUUUAGGACAUGGUGAUAGAAGGUUAUGAGUGGUAAUUUACCACUCAUUUAUAUCUCUUUUCUUGUAUACUAUUGUGAUUAAAUUGAUGUUAUGAAGCUAAUUCUUAAAUGAAAUAUACUAAUUUCUAGUGUUUGUGGUUUAUCAAGGAAAUUUGGGAAAUAUGAACAAAGUCAAUGAUUAAAAGAAGAAAAGGAGAGAAGAGCAGACACAAAGGCUAAAGAUGCAUUCCAGGACAUGUAUCUCAGAUACUGCUAUCGCUAUAUGAGGGUUGUGAAUGUGACUGGUCCACACGGGAAAAAGAGCUAUGAUCGUAAAGUAAAAUUUGGUUGUGAUCUUGGGAUUAUGCCUACCUAAAAGUAAUGAUCAUGUGGGUUAAUCAUGGAUUAACAUGAAUCUUAGUUGUUAAGUGAGAGAUAGGUUAGGUCGAAUGUCUUUAUGGUUAGUCUUUCAACAAAACCACAAAGAUAUCACCGAUUGUCUCUUUCGAGCAUGUAACAAGUGUGUCAUUUAUAAUCACCCAAAAUCUCAAUUAAACAUCCCUAUUUCUUGGAAAA
This 2028-nucleotide long non-coding RNA is filed under the name Capsicum annuum. RNAcentral's name for it is "long non-coding RNA (CANN_LNC012441)". The record is from RNAcentral. Lineage: Eukaryota; Viridiplantae; Streptophyta; Magnoliopsida; Solanales; Solanaceae.